Molecule: ribosomal RNA, 782 nt
Filed under: uncultured Mycobacterium sp.
Lineage: Bacteria; Bacillati; Actinomycetota; Actinomycetes; Mycobacteriales; Mycobacteriaceae
Description: bacterial SSU rRNA
Rfam family: Bacterial small subunit ribosomal RNA
Source: RNAcentral
CGUAAAGAGCUCGUAGGUGGUUUGUCGCGUUGUUCGUGAAAUCUCACGGCUUAACUGUGAGCGUGCGGGCGAUACGGGCAGACUAGAGUACUGCAGGGGAGACUGGAAUUCCUGGUGUAGCGGUGGAAUGCGCGGAUAUCAGGAGGAACACCGGUGGCGAAGGCGGGUCUCUGGGCAGUAACUGACGCUGAGGAGCGAAAGCGUGGGGAGCGAACAGGAUUAGAUACCCUGGUAGUCCACGCCGUAAACGGUGGGUACUAGGUGUGGGUUUCCUUCCUUGGGAUCCGUGCCGUAGCUAACGCAUUAAGUACCCCGCCUGGGGAGUACGGCCGCAAGGCUAAAACUCAAAGGAAUUGACGGGGGCCCGCACAAGCGGCGGAGCAUGUGGAUUAAUUCGAUGCAACGCGAAGAACCUUACCUGGGUUUGACAUGCACAGGACGCGUCUAGAGAUAGGCGUUCCCUUGUGGCCUGUGUGCAGGUGGUGCAUGGCUGUCGUCAGCUCGUGUCGUGAGAUGUUGGGUUAAGUCCCGCAACGAGCGCAACCCUUGUCUCAUGUUGCCAGCGGGUAAUGCCUGGGACUCGUGAGAGACUGCCGGGGUCAACUCGGAGGAAGGUGGGGAUGACGUCAAGUCAUCAUGCCCCUUAUGUCCAGGGCUUCACACAUGCUACAAUGGCCGGUACAAAGGGCUGCGAUGCCGUAAGGUUAAGCGAAUCCUUUUAAAGCCGGUCUCAGUUCGGAUUGGGGUCUGCAACUCGACCCCAUGAAGUCGGAGUCGCUAGU